Molecule: long non-coding RNA, 805 nt
Organism: Cyprinus carpio carpio
Lineage: Eukaryota; Metazoa; Chordata; Actinopteri; Cypriniformes; Cyprinidae
Source: Ensembl
GAGAAAACAAAUAGAGAGUGCAAGUGUUAGAGAGUAAUACAUAAGCAGGCUUUGUAAUAGGCUAAAUAGGGGGUUGAAUGUUCGUAAAAAAAAAAAGCACCAAAUCUUAAACUACUUAAACUAUAAAACUUAAUCUUUUUAUACUUUUAUACUUAUUAUCACUGUAAAAGUGAUGUUUUAUCUGACUCACGUGCAGGGGUGGCGUUUUUCACCUAUGAAUGGGUCAUGGAACUACGAAAAAAACCUUAAAUUGAUUAUUUAAUAAUUUAAUUAGAUUUAAGUUAUUUAUUAACGAAAUCUUUGUUUAGCCUAUGUAAAUUCCGCGUGCUUUAAUGAGCGCGCGCUGAACAUUGGAGUAGCGUUCAUUCAGAUUCAAACACUGGAGCGGAGGGAGUUGCCAUGGAAACGGGGCGACCGACAACACUGGCAAGCUGCAAGCUCCGUUUCUUGCUGCUGUUUUCACUGCUUUCGAGUCUGCUAAGCUAUAAAGGAGGUGUUCCGGACUCACUGCUCUCCUACAGGAUGACAGCUGGUGAGGAGCCGGCCUCUCCAAUGAGGAAACCAGCAACAUGCAAGAGAACGGCGGAGCCCGAAGCAGCCCCCAAGAUCCUUUGCAUCACUCCUCGGGCCAAUCAUCUCUGUUUGAGCUUGGCACGGUUCAAACAGGGUUUAGGAAAGUGCACGCUCGUGAGAGUACGCAAGAUCUACAGGAACCCCUUCAUGUGCUUGGUCUGUGUGGAAGAGUCAAUCUCACAAAUAAAGAGUUGUAACAUUUUUCAUCACAGGCAUCCAGUGUCAUUACAAA